GACGAACGCUGGCGGCGUGCUUAACACAUGCAAGUCGAACGAAGAGCGAUGGAAGCUUGCUUCUAUCAAUCUUAGUGGCGAACGGGUGAGUAACGCGUAAUCAACCUGCCCUUCAGAGGGGGACAACAGUUGGAAACGACUGCUAAUACCGCAUACGAUCUAAUCUUGGCAUCGAGGAUAGAUGAAAGGUGGCCUCUACAUGUAAGCUAUCACUGAAGGAGGGGAUUGCGUCUGAUUAGCUAGUUGGAGGGGUAACGGCCCACCAAGGCGAUGAUCAGUAGCCGGUCUGAGAGGAUGAACGGCCACAUUGGGACUGAGACACGGCCCAGACUCCUACGGGAGGCAGCAGUGGGGAAUCUUCCGCAAUGGACGAAAGUCUGACGGAGCAACGCCGCGUGAGUGAUGACGGCCUUCGGGUUGUAAAGCUCUGUUAAUCGGGACGAAAGGCCUUCUUGCGAAUAGUGAGAAGGAUUGACG
This 477-nucleotide ribosomal RNA is filed under the name Veillonella parvula. RNAcentral describes it as "bacterial SSU rRNA". It matches the Rfam family "Bacterial small subunit ribosomal RNA", at positions 28 to 474 of the family's 1533-position model. Lineage: Bacteria; Bacillati; Bacillota; Negativicutes; Veillonellales; Veillonellaceae. The record is from RNAcentral.